UUUGAAGAAAACCAUCAUGCAUGAAUCAGUUUACCAUUUUCUACAGGGGUCUGCUUUAAUGAACACAAGCACUGCAGGAGAUUGAGGCUAUCUGUCAUCAGAGAGAGAAGUCACAGAAUCGUGGAAGAUCUGGCGUGGAGGAAGCGAGGAUGCACAAUAGAGUCCCUGUGUUCUUGGCGACUCAAUGGCUACAGAAGUUUUGGAGCCUGCAUUUUUUUCAUUUCAGAUAAGUUAUUUUCCAGCUUCACUAAAUUGUUUUCUUUCUUUUCUCUUCUAUGGUAAACAAACAAAAAGAUCCUUGUUUGGCUUCCCUUAAUGUCUUCUACCGUUUUAGCUUCAAAGGGUCAAUGUGCAAAAAAGAUUUUUCACACUAGAGGAAAGAUUUGAGCUCUGGUCAAUUAUAGCUUAAUUAUCAGUCUCUAGGUUUCAAGCUGUAGACAGACUCAUACAUUCUCUCCUCAAGAUACGUGUGAAGGAUGGUUCUUUCCUCCGAAGUUUCAAGUAAUCAGAGGGAACCUAUUCCUGUUGUAAAUUAGAGCGAGAUGUGACAUACUAUCUAGUGUGGCCAAAGGUGGGAUUUACCUGUAUCCAAUUUUCAGUAUUCCCUUUAGAAAUUAUGUACAUCCGAACGUGAGACAGUCAGUUAACAAACAUUGUUGAGCACCUGCCAAACAGAUAACUCCAAUCAGUGAGUCAAUGGGCUUUGAGAGAGGCAAGCCCUAUGUGUUCUAAGAAUACAUCAGGAUUCCUUAGUUAGAAUUUAAUGAGAAUGUGAUUAUAAAUAGCCCCUGUGCUACAUCUUUCUACUUCCUUGACCCCACAUGCAAGAAAUCUUCCCUUCUAGCCCCAGUUACAAAAAUCCAGAGGCAGGGACUCUUAUUGCUAAGUUUGUGUUACAUCCCUAUACCUUGGACCAACCACUGUCACCAGGGCCAUGGGUUACUGUGAUUUGUUGCAUCUGGGUAAUGUAGCUGGAGGGCAGCAAACUGUGCUUGCAGACACUGUAGACUCACACGGAAUGAGUAGUGGGAGAGGAGCUGUUUCUCAAAGGAAAGAGAGGUGAGGCUAUUGCUAAGGGAACGGAUGCUGAGAAGGCCAUAGCAAUAGAGGGUGGUUAACAAAUGACGGUAGGCAGGACACCAAAGAGGGGAGUCAGGCAUCAGGGAUGGUUUACCCAACCUGAGUCAUUUAAAAAAUGUGAGCUAAGUGUUGAAGAAAGAGUAGGCAUUCUCCAGGUGUUUCUGUGUGUAUUUGUACACGCAUGAGAGGUUAGCGUAGUCUGGGUAGAGGGAGUAGAGUGGGUAAAGGUACAAAGGUGGGAAAAAAAGAAAAUGACCUAUUCGGGGAACUAAGGAGUUUGGUGUGGCUGGAACGGAGGGUAAGAUGAUCAGGCAGCAAGAAAUGGAGAGCUUUGUAUACUAUGGGAUGGGAAAUCAUCUACUGAAUUUACAUUGGCUAAUAUUUACUGAGCACUUCUUAGUGCUGGUGCUGCUCUGUGCAUUUCACCUGUAUCAGCUCAUCUAAUCCUCACGUCAACCUGAGGAAGUGAGCAAGGGGGACCUACAAAUAUGUAACAACCAACCUGGCGUGGUCAUGAUUGGUGACCGUUGAGUCAGAAUGGACAUCAGCUGUAAAGCACUGCUACUCCCCACGGUGUGUAUCCGUGGCCACCAGCCCUGGGUGUGGGCACGCUUAUAAUCCUUGUUUUACAGGUGAGGAAGCUGGAGCACAGUGUUGUUUACUUGCCCAAGCACACAUGGUAGCAGCAGAGGAAGUAGGCCUCAGACCAGAGGGGCUGCUCUGUACCACUUGCCUGUAAAGGGGGAACGCGAAUUCAUUCUUUAGAAAAAGGAUGUGAGAGAGUGUAAUUCUCAUGAAGACAGCCACUGGGUCUGUGUUUGUUUCUCAUUAUAUCCCCAGCACUGUUUCUGACACAUGGUAUGUUCUCAAAAAUACUUAUUGACUGAAUGACUAGAAAGCUCAUUGCAGAUUUGAGAAAGGCAGAUAAGACUGAGGCAUUCAUCCAGAUAAGAAAACAAUAAAAUCUUGAAGUAAGGAGCCAAUUGGAACUGGUAAGGAACUAAGGUGACACCAAUUGGAAGAUAUAAAAGAGGUAAGAGUAAACAGAAUUUAGUGACUGUUUAGAUGUGGGACAUGAGUCCCAGGUUUCUAUUUUGAACAAUGAAGGAGGUGGUGUUGUCAUUCACUGAAAUAGGAAGUGUAAAGAGAAUAGGUUGUUAGCGGUGGGUAACGUGAAGGGGGAUGAGAGAAGAUCAUGAGUUCCUUUUGUGGAUGUCGAAUUGGAGUGCCUGCAGCUGCUUAGGAGAAACUGGAUUUGGAAUCCAGAGAGAGACCAGUGCUGCUGAUGUAGAUGGGUGAGUAGUCAGGAUACAGAUGGAGGUUAAAGGCAUGGGGGUAGAUGGUCAUCCAGGAAGAGUCUAUGCAGAGAAGAGGCUGGAGGAUGGCGUCCUGGGGCAGGGGAGAGAAGCAGAGGCCCAGUGAGAGAAUGAGAGUGAGUGGCCAGGCAUAGAGGAGGAGGAACCAGAGAAAGCGUUGUCAAUAAAGUCCAAAUUUGUAGGGGCAUCAGUAUUUGUGGUGUUCUGAGUGGCCUGGCUCUAAAUGUGGAAAAGGUAGCAGGCAGUGGGAUUGAUCUGGAAUUUGGCUUUUUCCGAGUGAAUAUGGUCCACUAUAGGCAAAGGAGUUGACAGUGACAAGAAAUGCUGUGUGAUGGACCUGAGGCCCCGACAGGUAGAGCAGGAAGCAAGUAUAGUAAGGGCUGAAUUAGAAGUCAGUCAAGGAUGGGAGAUCUCAGUGAGUCAAAGAGAGGGUGUGGUGGGUGUAAGGACUCAGGGAGCUGAAGGGAUAGGAAGUUGUAGUCAGAGUGGCGUGCUGAAAUCCAGAUCCAGGUGGUAACAAGGUCCAAAGGUGUGGUCGUGGGUCAUGGGUGUGAGAGUUGAAAUGCAAGGGAAGUGUACUAGUCAGGUUCUCCAGAAAAACAGAACCAAUAGGAUAUAGAUAUAUUAUUGUAUUUGAUAUUGUAUGUAUUCCAUACUUAACAUCUAUCCAUCUGUAUAUUUGUAUCUCUAUCUAUGUAAAAGAUUGAUUCUAAGGAAUUGGCUCAUGUGAUUAUGGAGAUGGGCAAGUCCUGAGAUCUGCGGGUGAGUCAGCAAGCCGGGCAUCUGGAAGAACCAAUGGUUUACUUGGAGUCUGAGUCUGAAGGCCCGAGAACCAGGAGAGCUGACGAUACAGUUUUAGUCCUAAGGCCAGCAGGCUCGAGGUCCAGGAAGAGUAGAUGUUUCAGUUCAAGUCUGAAGGCAGAAGAACUCUCUUUUACUCAGGGGAGGGUUAGCCUUUUCGUUUUAUUCAGGCCUUCAACUGAUUGGAUGAGGCCCAGCCACGUUAGGGAGGGCAGUCUGCUUUACUCAACCUACUAAUUUAAAUGUGAAUCUCAUUCACCCUCACAGAAGCACCCAGAAUAAUGCUUGACCAAGUAUCUGGGCACCCCAUGGCCAAGUGAAGUUGACACAUAAAAUUGACCCUCAUUGGGAGUGGUCCAUUUACUCCAGACCCUCUGUACUUGCUCUGGUCUUCCUGGCCUUGACCUUUGGGCUCCAAAUCCCUACUUCAGCUCCUGCCUUUGGCCAUCGACUACGAAAGCUGAGUCUGCUCAUUAGAACUGUGACGGGAAGUUUCUGUGCAGAUUGGGGUUGAGACCUGGGAGCUGGGACUGAGUUCUGACCCUGCUAUACAAAGAAUGCUUGCUCGGAGGGGCCUGCUGUUGAGAGAGACGCCUAGAAGUAUUGCUGCAAUUGUCUAAUGUGUGCCCAGUUCAUGAUUCCCACAGGGACACUCAGGGCUAAACUGGCUCCUCAGAGCAUUUGAGGACCAAAGUAAAGAUUGCAGCGACAUGGCUUCGUGCCACCCUCAGGUGAGUUUGAUGGAGCAGAUGACAGACACUGGCUGCAUCCAGCUACAAACUGAAUUGCACUCGCUGCAGGAUGAGGGAUGUCAGAACAAAACAUGCUUGGGACUACCCAGAGAAUAAGUUAUGAUUAGGUGUCUUGUUUCCUGAGCAGAGCAGUGUUAACGGAAAUAAUGGCAAUUCUCAUAAGUUUGUGGCUACUGGGUAGUGGAUGAAUCAUGAGGAAAAGACCCACCUUUGUUUAGUGAUUCUUGUUACUCCCAAAUGUAAUGAGAUUAGCAAGGAAACCAUAUUUUUUCAGGAGCCGAUAAGGUAUUAAAAAGGCUGCCUCCUCUGAGCCUCCAAGGACUGGUUUUGUAGAAGAGAAAUCAGGCAACUUCUCUGGGGAUAGGCUUUGUGGGAGACAGAUAACAUAUCAUUUGGGACUCUUUUUUUCCCCUUAAUUUUGCGGCAGAUUGGUUGUCUUCUCACCUUUUCCCACCAUGAUGCGACAGCCCCCUCCUCUGUUUGAACUGCCUGGAACGAAAGUCCUACCUGUAUUCCACACUCCACGAACUCCACAGGAGCCUUCAGGGCGCCCACUCAUUCCUCUGCUUCUUAACUCAGCUGUUCAAUGAUUGGCUUCGACUGUCACCUUUUCAUCUGUCUGGGACUGAAUCCUGGCUCCAUCUUUUACAUAAUGUGUAAUCUUGGGAAGUUUAUUUAAUGUCUGUGGAUGUCAGUUUCCUUAUCUAUAAAAGAGUGAUAAUAAUAGAUUCUACCUCCUGGGUUACCAUGGAGAUUCAAGAAGAUGUUUUAGAUAGUCAUUGCAAUGCUUGGAAACAGCAAAUGCUCUCUAGUUGUUAGCUCUAAUUUUCCUUUCUGAUUCUGCACCUCAGAGUCUUCCAGGUUGUCUCUAUAGGUCCGUAGCUGAUCUGUGUGUAUUGACUCCCUAACAAUAGAAUGUUGACCCAACUCUGAAUCAUGUUUUAUUUCCUAUAGGUGACCAGUUUAUGUUUGAAAGUGGAAACAGGAAAAUCUUGCUUUCCAUAGUCUGCCUGAGUAACCAAACUUCACCUGGUUGAGUGGAUUUGAGGGGAGUGAGGUGAGGGAAGGAGUGUUUCGGCCGUACACCUCAAUUCUCAAAUCCUACUUCUCAGCUUUCGACUGUGCAGGAAAUCAGAGAUUACAUUUCUGACACUGUUGACCUUUUUGCUCCUGACUCAUCUCAGAUGAUGCCAUAAGGAAACGAGGGCUCUGGUCCUGAGUCAAAAAAGCCUCUCUCCUAUUGGUGGGAAAUACCUGCGCCGGAUGGGACCAGCGCUGCUGCCCCAGCUCCCCGAGCAUCGCUGAGCAAAAACCUCUCACUUCUUUUUGGUCAGUGGCCCCCAAAACUGAGGGUGUCUGCAAAGUCAGAGGUUCCCAGCUCUCCUUGUGCAUCAGAAAAACCUGAGGAACUUUAAAAACUGGAGAGAACCUGUCCCGUGCCGGGAGAGUCUGACUUCAUAGGUCUAGGAAAAUAGCUGGGAAUGCGUUGUUUAGAAGGCGUCUCAGGUGGGUCUGAUGUGUCUGGCCUGCCGUGGGUUGCUGUUUCAGAACCUCUGUACCAGCUUGCCUGCAUGAUUUCUCACCUGUUUCCACUUUCAGGUCGCUCCCUCAUAUUAAAACUUAACAGUAGACUUCCAUCGAUGGUAAUUUAAAUUCUCAUUCCCUCCCUUUGUCCCACCCUCUCUUCUUUCAUCUCUUCCAUAUUUUUCAUAGAACGCUAAAAUUUGUAGAUACAUUGUGAUCAUCUCAUCCAAACAUUGCUUUGAGACAAGGGAGGAUAAAGAACCGAACCAUUGAGAGAAAUCCCUUACUUAUUUAGCCCAGUGAGUUUUCCUGCAAGUCUCUUGAUGUCAGAUAACAACUCAGAGUAGGACUGCUUUACAAUGAACACAACGUACUCGAAAAGACUUAGGGCAGAGCAGCUGCCAACCUGCUGAGAUUGAUACUUUGUGCAGCUGGCUUGGUCAGACCCUGCCUUCUGGCCUCUGCUGUCCCCUCCACGUGUCAGGCCCCAUCCGCGACUCAAGACUCAGCUUCUAAGACCUGGUGACUUUCUCACUGGGGCCCCUUGGUUUGGCGCUGGGUGGGAUUUGGUGACGGCUUUCCUUCUGGGUCUGGGGCUUGUCUGCGCUUACUCUGCCACCUUCCAUUUAGCCAGUCAGCUCCCUUAGCCCUCUCCUGGCUUCCUUGAACCUUGGCUCCUUCCCUGGGCAAAUGGCCUUCGGGAGCCACAGUACCCAACCAACUUUACUCCAGUGUUUGAUCAGCUUGAUGGCCGAACAGUUUCUUCCUUCUGUCCAGCUGAGAUCUCUUUGUCACACUGUAACCAUUAUCCCCUUAUUGGUCCUCUGAGGACUGAUAUCCGCAAGGACCCAUUUUCCAUUCCUUAAAUCUUGUCUUUCAUUCAUCUCUAAACUCACUCUUUUUCCUUAAAUGAAUUAACAGAUAUAAAGCACUUUGAGCAGUGCCUGAUAUGGGGUAAGCACACAUGGCUGUUAGUAUUAUUAUUUUCUUUAUAUCCUUUUAAUAGUUUUCUGAACAGAGAUGGACUUGUGAUUUCUCCAAUAAGGGUCAGGGUAAUCUGAAUAGGGUAAGAUUACUGUCGUGUUCCUCUUACUACAGCAACACAGAUUCCUCUUUACUCCCUCACAGCCCCCUAACCCUCAACCUCUCACACCUCGGCUAACUUGCUGACUUUCAAUUUGUUUUCAAUGACAGUGACCUCUACGUCCUUUUUGUCACUAGUGCUUUUUCCUCUCGUUAAAAUGUGUAUGUUUUGGCAGUAAUUUAAUUGUGAUAAAAGGUAUACGGAUCUAUUUUCCAUAAAAAUUGCUUAUUGUACCAUAAUUUGUUUGUAGUAGGAAGUUAUGGUCCAGUAAAUUCUUCCAUAUAUUUACAUUGCCAGAAACACUGUUUGCAGAGCAGCGGACAUUUUUAGUUUCAUUCUCCCUAGGUCUGUUUUCAGUCAGGGGUAAAAUCUCCCCCUAAGAUUCAUCACCUAAACAAAGUGUGGUCAAUGAGUUUACCUUGAGUAAUUGUUGGGGUGUGAUAUGAAAUGUCCUGUGUGGGUGCGAGCCCUCUUACUCUAAGACUUGGCUUAAGUCUGUAGACAGAGGACCUGCUGUCAUUUUGCCAAGAGUCAAGGAAGGCGUGAGAGGUUGUUGGUUAGUGGGUAAAGUCUGCUAAAGCUGGGAAUUAAAGAAAAUCUGUAUCUGUAUCUAUAUCUCUUAAACCUUUUAGUUUAAACUUAAAAUGCAUGGAUUAUCUUUUACUGUAAGGGCCAACUUUUCCUGGCUGUGAGUUCAUUGUUUGGAGUUGCAUGUCCUCAUUCUUCUAUAAACCGCUCUCCUCAUGCAUCAUUUACAACAUGCAGUUUCAGUUUCUUUAAAGUGGAGCGAGAUCUUGAAAACAUUUGUGAAGUGAGCCGAGUGGAGUCUCUGUCUAGACUAGAGUUUUGGUACAUUUUUCUCCGACCCUUUUAUGGUUGCUUUACCCAUACUGGUAUGGACAUCUGUUUGUAUAGCAACUCACUUUUGAGUUUUUUGAGACAUCCAACUGAAGUUUUACAGAACAGAAUUUUCUUUUUACAUUAAAAUUUCAUCAGUUUACAUGAUAUUUAAUAUAAUUACGUAAUUAUAAUAAUAAAACAUUGGGCAUAAACAUGUCUGGGAAUGAAGACAAGGGUUCUUUAUAGCUCAGCCGGUGGGCGCAGAAGCGCGGGGUCUGCCGGAGCGCAGUCUGUGCCGGGCCACGGGUCAGUGGGUUUGAAAGAGGGACACGGCGUUAGGUGUAACCUCAUGUCCCAGUUUGUGCGUAUUGUCCUGGCUUAAUCAUUAAGAGCUCCCUUCUCACCCUUCAGGAGGUCCUGGGCAAUAAAUUCUAUGAUCACUCCUAGUGUUGGUUAACCUAGUCAGUCUGGUUAAAUGGAGGUAAAAGUUGAUUUAGAGAGUUUCUACCAAACUUGAUUCAAGUUUAACUGUAGCUGACUUGACAGUGCCUACAAAUCCUUGCCAAGUGAUGGUGGUUAGAAUUGGAGUUGUCAAGGAGCUAGAGUUCUUGAUUAAGCUUGGGAACGGGCCUGGAGCCUCUGAGCAGCCCAGGAGGCUGCUCAGAGGCUGUGAUUGACGGCUUCCCAGGUAAUGCUGCUGCGAGGGGCUUCCCUGCUGCUGCUGGGCGGGGUCGCUCGUUCAGCCAGGUGGGUACUGGAGGCAGGUGAUGAUCUUGAGCACCAAGGGUGACUUUCAUUGACAUGGGAAUCACGGGCACAGCAUCUUCUGGUGGGAGCGGGGGGGGGGGGGGGCGUGCGUUCUAAGCAUUCGUAGCUGUGGUUAACUGGAAAUGAUGUUGAAUAAAAGCCUCUCUACUUCCUGGCAGUGUUUCUGGGGUUGGAUCUCCCCAACUUCAUCCAUCUUCUCCAUCUCUGCAGCUGCCUUCCUGCAUUCUUUCCUCAGUCUGUCCUUCUCUUGGUUCUUUCCCAGCACUGCCUCUUCCCUAUCUGUUCAGAAUCCCCAGAGCAUGCUGACCACCAGUGUGUCCUAUCCUGUGUGAACCAACCCCGCUCCGCCCAACCAUGCUCAUUCAGGAGGAGCGCUGCCCACCACCACACCUCUUCGUUCUCCCCUCCUUUCACACACACUCACCUGUUUUGCUGUGAGACCUCUCUGUUGGUUUCUGGGCCUGGAGGACAACUCUAAAGCUACAGUCCCUGGGAUGGAUUCAGCCUGGAGUUGGCUUUAGAUCCUGGCAUCUGGGAGAUCUGACCCUCAGCUAUGGAGUCCUCUGUGUAGUUUGUAACUGAGUGCUGAGCUUGGGGUGGGGGCAGGAGGGCCAAUGUGGAAACAUUCACGGGGCCUGAAGACUGCUAGUGCACGGAUGCUUUUAACACUUUGACUCAGUUUCAGAUUAGCCAGUAAUUCAGUGUUUGCUAUACGCCUGGGUACAAUGCUAGUUACUUUCAUGAAUACUGUAAUAUUUAAUCUUUUCAACAACCUUUUGAGCUAAUAUAACACACACACACAUACACAAGCAUGCACGCACUUUUUUUUUUUUUAAACAAAUGAAGAUAUUAAAGCUCAGAACGUAUAAAGAAUCUUCAUGGGCACACCGACGGCAAAUGUAGACCCAGGAUUUGAACCUGAUGCCUCUUGACUCAGCAUCUCCUUCUUCCCAGCAGACUUUAGUGUUCCUCUUCUGGAAAGGAUUGUUCGGAGAGCGUUGCUAUUUACACACUGUAAGUAAAGAGAUUAAUGCUAUGGCUUUCAGACUUUUAGAAACAUCAUAAAACCUAUUAUUUAAAUGAAGUCUUGUGAGGAAGCUCAAAAGAUAAAAUGGCUAAGUGCGAAGCUGGUCCAGGCGGGUGGAGGGUGUCUGCGGUCAUCUCCAUUUCUUCCCUGCCUCCCAUCCUCACAGCCCCUCGAAGCAGGCUGGGGGGCACAGUUCAGUGAUGCGGGAUUAGUGGAGUCAUACAUGUGCAUCCAUUUAAUUCCACCGGCCCAAGAAGGCGGGGCAGAGAGCUCGCCUCGUCCCUGGCAACCAGCACCAGGGGCCCUCCCUGGAUGUGGUGAGAUGACUGUUCCACGUUCACCUGCUGAUUUCUUACCUCUGUAUAAGCAGAUGCAUAUCUAUUCUCUUUUUCCUUUUUGGUGAUCAAAUUGAAAUAAUUUGCAUUUAUGAUCUUAUUCACUUUCCCAACCAUCCUUUGGAAUCCCAAAGACCAAAAACAACACUUUUUAAAGGUACUCUGACAAGUAGGGUGACCAACCAGCCCAAAAUGCCUAUGACUUAGGGAUUUCCCGGGACACUAGACUUUCAGUGCUGAAACUGUGACAGUCGCAGGCAAACUGGGACAGUUGGUGGUGAAGCCAUGAGGUCACAGGAACUGGCCCUUGAGGACUGCUAACCAGGGCACCGGGACACCUCUACUCCCGUGACCUGGCCGGUUGGCACCUGGUCCCUGGGAUCAGGUGAACUGCAGAUCGUGUAAGGAGUCUGGUUAACACUGCUCCUUUAUCCCUUGCCCUCAACUAGAGCUGAAAAAUGAGUUUACGAGGGUGAAAAUCAAGUUCACACAGGUAGCCAUUUCAAAGAGAUUAAAAAGCAAUACCUUUUUGUUUUUAAAGCAUAGUUAGAAUAUAGGCACUCUCUCUUUUUCUGCGAUUGUUAAAGUAAAUGAGUAGAUAAAGCUAUUUUUAAGGUUACCUAGCAGAUAAGUGCUUUUUAUUUUCUAUGGAUUUUGUUUAUCCUUUAUCAAUUUUCUUUAUUUGGCAUAAAUAAAUGAGUUGGCUAAAACAAACCCCCAAACACCUCUUGUUAUCUGCAAAGUGUAGUAAGCUAUAGUAUCUGGCAGUGUGAUUAAAUGGAAAAAAAAAGACUGGAGUUGCUUACCGACUGUAAGACAUUGGAAAGGUCCCUUAACCUCUCAGAGCCCGAGCUUCUACACUGUCUCAGUGGAGAUAAUUGCACCUGCCUAACGGAUUAGCACGAGAUGUCAAAGUGCUUGGUAAAUUGCAUUUCCCCGAUAAACGUUAGCUUCUUUUCUUCCUGGCAUGGUCAAGGUUUUGCUUAAUCAAAUAUUCUCAUUAGAAGAAAGUUAUCAAUAUAGAAUAAGGUACGGUUAAUAAAUUCUUUAUCAAUAAAGAAUAAAGUAUGUUUACCAUUAAAAAUGCAUCAAACAGGCAUGCAGGCAUGAGGGAACCUUCUGGGUAAUGGAAGUAUUCCAUAUUUUGAUCUGGAUAGUGAUAACAUGGGUGUUUACACACAUAAAUAUUCACCAUGCUGUAUACUUAGGACUUAUGUAUCUUACUGUAUAUAAAUUAGUCUUCAAUUAAAAAAAUGACUCCAGAUAUGUAAGUCAUUUGUAUUGAUUUGUAUGA
This is a long non-coding RNA of Equus caballus (horse), 10821 nucleotides long. RefSeq lists it as uncharacterized. The record is from RefSeq and is a predicted model, not a curated record. NCBI's taxonomy places the organism in Eukaryota, Metazoa, Chordata, Mammalia, Perissodactyla, Equidae.